AUUGAACGCUGGCGGCAGGCCUAACACAUGCAAGUCGAGCGGAUGAAGGGAGCUUGCUCCUGGAUUCAGCGGCGGACGGGUGAGUAAUGCCUAGGAAUCUGCCUGGUAGUGGGGGAUAACGUCCGGAAACGGGCGCUAAUACCGCAUACGUCCUGAGGGAGAAAGUGGGGGAUCUUCGGACCUCACGCUAUCAGAUGAGCCUAGGUCGGAUUAGCUAGUUGGUGGGGUAAAGGCCUACCAAGGCGACGAUCCGUAACUGGUCUGAGAGGAUGAUCAGUCACACUGGAGCUGAGACACGGUCCAGACUCCUACGGGAGGCAGCAGUGGGGAAUAUUGGACAAUGGGCGAAAGCCUGAUCCAGCCAUGCCGCGUGUGUGAAGAAGGUCUUCGGAUUGUAAAGCACUUUAAGUUGGGAGGAAGGGCAGUAAGUUAAUACCUUGCUGUUUGACGUUACCAACAGAAUAAGCACCGGCUAACUUCGUG
RNAcentral lists this ribosomal RNA (483 nucleotides) under uncultured bacterium. RNAcentral's name for it is "partial 16S ribosomal RNA". It matches the Rfam family "Bacterial small subunit ribosomal RNA", at positions 30 to 507 of the family's 1533-position model. The record is from RNAcentral.